CAGUAGCCGCGGUAAUACGUAGGGUCCGAGCGUUGUCCGGAAUUAUUGGGCGUAAAGGGCUCGUAGGCGGUUUGUCGCGUCGGGAGUGAAAACUCAGGGCUCAACCCUGAGCGUGCUUCCGAUACGGGCAGACUAGAGGUAUGCAGGGGAGAACGGAAUUCCUGGUGUAGCGGUGGAAUGCGCAGAUAUCAGGAGGAACACCGGUGGCGAAGGCGGUUCUCUGGGCAUUACCUGACGCUGAGGAGCGAAAGCAUGGGGAGCGAACAGGAUUAGAUACCCGCGUAGUCCCUGUCUCUUAUAA
RNAcentral lists this ribosomal RNA (301 nucleotides) under uncultured bacterium. Its description in RNAcentral is "partial 16S ribosomal RNA". It matches the Rfam family "Bacterial small subunit ribosomal RNA", at positions 509 to 809 of the family's 1533-position model. The record is from RNAcentral.